Molecule: ribosomal RNA, 253 nt
Filed under: uncultured bacterium
Lineage: Bacteria
Description: partial 16S ribosomal RNA
Rfam family: Bacterial small subunit ribosomal RNA
Source: RNAcentral
UACGAAGGGGGCUAGCGUUGUUCGGAAUUACUGGGCGUAAAGCGCGCGCAGGCGGUUCUACAAGUCCGUGGUGAAAGCCCGGAGCUCAACUCCGGAACUGCCAUUGAAACUGCAGAACUUGAGGAUGAGAGAGGUGAGUGGAAUUCCCAGUGUAGAGGUGAAAUUCGUAGAUAUUGGGAAGAACACCGGUGGCGAAGGCGGCUCACUGGCUCAUUUCUGACGCUCAGGCGCGACAGCGUGGGGAUCAAACAGG